CAGUGGGGAAUAUUGCACAAUGGGGGAAACCCUGAUGCAGCCAUGCCGCGUGUGUGAAGAAGGCCUUCGGGUUGUAAAGCACUUUCAGUAGGGAGGAAGGUAGUGUAGUUAACACCUGCAUUAUUUGACGUUACCUACAGAAGAAGCACCGGCUAACUCCGUGCCAGCAGCCGCGGUAAUACGGAGGGUGCGAGCGUUAAUCGGAAUUACUGGGCGUAAAGCGCAUGCAGGCGGCCUGUUAAGUCAGAUGUGAAAGCCCGGGGCUUAACCUCGGAAUUGCAUUUUGAAACUGGCAGACUAGAGUACUGUAGAGGGGGUAGAAUUUCAGGUGUAGCGGUGAAAUGCGUAGAGAUCUGAAGGAAUACCGGUGGCGAAGGCGGCCCCCUGGACAGAUACUGACACUCAGAUGCGAAAGCGUGGGGAGCAAACAGGAUUAGAUACCCUGGUAG
RNAcentral lists this ribosomal RNA (449 nucleotides) under uncultured bacterium. RNAcentral's name for it is "bacterial SSU rRNA". It matches the Rfam family "Bacterial small subunit ribosomal RNA", at positions 352 to 793 of the family's 1533-position model. The record is from RNAcentral.